Small nuclear RNA from Neoarius graeffei (lesser salmon catfish), 190 nucleotides. RefSeq annotates it as U2 spliceosomal RNA. The record is from RefSeq and is a predicted model, not a curated record. Lineage: Eukaryota; Metazoa; Chordata; Actinopteri; Siluriformes; Ariidae. The transcript has a single exon.
AUUGUUUCUCCGCAUUUCAAUCAGGAUCAAGUGUAGUAUCUAUUCUAAUCAAUUUGAUUUGUUCUUUAAACGGGAGCGUUAUAUCGAGUAGAUUUUUUUUUAAAGUAAGGAGCUGGGAUAGGAGUUUGCUCUUUCGGCUCCAUAUACUAAUCUGAUAUUGUAGCAUGUCGUAUGGUCUAGGAAAUAAGUU